CCAGACUCCUACGGGAGGCAGCAGUGGGGAAUAUUGCACAAUGGGGGGAACCCUGAUGCAGCGACGCCGCGUGGGUGAAGGAGCACCUCGGUGCGUAAAGCCCUAUCGGCAGGGAAGAAACAGACGGUACCUGACUAAGAAGCCCCGGCUGACUCCGUGCCAGCAGCCGCGGUAAUACGGAGGAUGCGAGCGUUAUCCGGAUUUAUUGGGUUUAAAGGGUGCGCAGGCGGAGGUGCAAGUCAGUGGUCAAAUUGCGGGGCUCAACCCCGUACUGCCGUUGAAACUGCACCCCUUGAGUGCGCGAGAAGUAUGCGGAAUGCGUGGUGUAGCGGUGAAAUGCAUAGAUAUCACGCAGAACUCCGAUUGCGAAGGCAGCAUACCGGCGCGCAACUGACGCUCAUGCACGAAAGCGUGGGUAUCGAACAGGAUUAGAUACCCUGGUAAC
This 445-nucleotide ribosomal RNA is filed under the name uncultured bacterium. RNAcentral describes it as "bacterial SSU rRNA". It matches the Rfam family "Bacterial small subunit ribosomal RNA", at positions 331 to 795 of the family's 1533-position model. The record is from RNAcentral.